UACGUAGGUGGCAAGCGUUGUCCGGAUUUAUUGGGCGUAAAGCAUGCGUAGGCGGAUAUUUAAGUGGGAUGUGAAAUCCCGGGGCUUAACCCCGGUGCUGCAUUUCAAACUGGAUAUCUAGAGUGCAGGAGAGGAAAGCGGAAUUCCUAGUGUAGCGGUGAAAUGCGUAGAUAUUAGGAAGAACACCAGUGGCGAAGGCGGCUUUCUGGACUGUAACUGACGCUGAGGCAUGAAAGCGUGGGUAGCAAACAGG
RNAcentral lists this ribosomal RNA (253 nucleotides) under uncultured Clostridium sp. Its description in RNAcentral is "partial 16S ribosomal RNA". It matches the Rfam family "Bacterial small subunit ribosomal RNA", at positions 524 to 776 of the family's 1533-position model. The record is from RNAcentral. Lineage: Bacteria; Bacillati; Bacillota; Clostridia; Eubacteriales; Clostridiaceae.